This 269-nucleotide ribosomal RNA is filed under the name uncultured prokaryote. RNAcentral describes it as "partial 16S ribosomal RNA". It matches the Rfam family "Bacterial small subunit ribosomal RNA", at positions 524 to 792 of the family's 1533-position model. The record is from RNAcentral.
UACGGAGGUAGCAAGCGUUGUUCGGAUUCACUGGGUGUAAAGGACAUGUAGGCGUCCCGUUAAGUCGGAUGUGAAAUCCCUCGGCUCACCCGAGGAACUGCAUCCGAAACUGGCGGGAUUGAGUACUGGAGAGGUAAGCGGAAUUCCGGAAGUAAGGGUGAAAUCUGUAGAUAUCCGGAAGAACACCGUUAGCGAAGGCGGCUUACUGGCCAGAUACUGACGCUGAAAUGUGAAAGCUAGGGUAGCGAACAGGAUUAGAUACCCCCGUA